AACUUGAUUUGCUCCCUUUAUUCACCCCUCCCUCAACCCCAUAGCACUCGAUUGCACUUCCAGUGCCCCGAUGCUUCACCGGCUCCAGCCUGGCGAAGGAGCCGCGAGGGUCUUCAGUGUCCUCCCUGACGGCCAGAACCAGCAGCCCGACAUGGCAUGGGGACCGGCUUCAGGACGUACCCAUCUGGGAGAAGACUUGAGGUGGUGGCAAGGACCCCUUGAUACCCGUUGUUUGGCCUUGCCCAGGCUAGAACUGCCCUGGAAUCAGCCAUGAGGAAGAGGGAAACACCAGAGAGAGACCCUUCCUCAGGAGGAACAAAACCCCAGCUGAAGUUCAUCUUGUCUUUUUCAGCCUGCACUUCAGGAUGGUAGAAGUCUCAGGGACGCAGGGUUCAACCGUGACUCCCAGAAUGACAGAGGAGAAGCAGACAGGUCUGUGGGGUUCUUCCGGCCGUGUGUCGGGCCCAGAGCGAGUGACUGCUUUCAGCUGAGGAUUUCGUUACUCCCCCACCGGCCCCCACCGAAAUAAAGCCAGCGAUAGAUAGAGACUCCACACUCGUGAACCACAGGCCUGUGGCCUGCCAGCUGGACCGCCUCCCUCCAGAAUCCAACGGCAGACAUCCGGCAAAGCACCAGAUUCACCACUCCUCGACACCCCCAGCCGUGACCACCCGAGCCACGGUCAGAGAACGUCCAUCCGGGUCAUCUCUGACCGCCUUCGGGUGCCCCCCGAGAUAGGCCCCGGAACCCUCUGGUCUCAUACACGGGGAGAGAAUGAAUAAA
Long non-coding RNA from Tachyglossus aculeatus (Australian echidna), 783 nucleotides. RefSeq lists it as uncharacterized. The transcript is spliced from 3 exons. The record is from RefSeq and is a predicted model, not a curated record. Lineage: Eukaryota; Metazoa; Chordata; Mammalia; Monotremata; Tachyglossidae.